AUUGAACGCUGGCGGCAGGCCUAACACAUGCAAGUCGAGCGGAUGAAGGGAGCUUGCUCCUGGAUUCAGCGGCGGACGGGUGAGUAAUGCCUAGGAAUCUGCCUUGUAUUUGGGGAUAACGUCCGGAAACGGGCGCUAAUACCGCAUACGUCCUGAGGGAGAAAGUGGGGGAUCUUCGGACCUCACGCUAUCAGAUGAGCCUAGGUCGGAUUAGCUAGUUGGUGGGGUAAAGGCCUACCAAGGCGACGAUCCGUAACUGGUCUGAGAGGAUGAUCAGUCACACUGGAACUGAGACACGGUCCAGACUCCUACGGGAGGCAGCAGUGGGGAAUAUUGGACAAUGGGCGAAAGCCUGAUCCAGCCACGCCGCGUGUGUGAAGAAGGUCUUCGGAUUGUAAAGCACUUUAAGUUGGGAGGAAGGGCAGUAAGUUAAUACCUUGCUGUUUUGACGUUACCUACAGAAUAAGCACCGGCUAACUUCGUG
RNAcentral lists this ribosomal RNA (484 nucleotides) under uncultured bacterium. RNAcentral's name for it is "partial 16S ribosomal RNA". It matches the Rfam family "Bacterial small subunit ribosomal RNA", at positions 30 to 507 of the family's 1533-position model. The record is from RNAcentral.